UAUAAAUAAAAAUAAAAUCCAAUAUAUAUAUAGAAAGAAGUCAUCUCCUUUAUAAUAAAAUAACAGAAUCUGUUAUAAAUCGAAAGAUAUUUUUUUUUAAUUUAUAUUUGAGCUGAUUACAAUACUUUUAAUUUUCACAACAAUAAUUUUCAUAUUUCGUUUUGAUUUAUUAGAGACGAAACUAAAACAAGUUGGAGAAUCACUGUAACUCUUCUCCUAUCUGCAAUGGGAGUCAGCUGUUCAUAUGGACCUUUCUCCCACGCGAACAGUUGUGCCCUUAGUUGGACACUUCCUUUGCCUGGUGAGAUUAGAAUGGUUAUUGCGCUACCAGCUGGGGGCGGAUCGGAUCGGAGUGUACUUUGGGAAUCCGAUGAAAUUAUGUUGUAUUUUAUAGAAGCAAAAAAGGUGGUGGAAUAUUAGCCAGGUUACUGAAGAAAGUCCACAAAGAACCAGAACUACAUUAACAACAACAUGACGUGGAGGAUGAAAUAUGUAUUUAAUAUGUAUUUUUUAUACUAAUAAUAUAUACAGCGCUAACAUUUUUUUUAUUUAAUAAAUUUUAUGUGUGAA
Molecule: long non-coding RNA, 570 nt
Organism: Populus nigra (black poplar)
Lineage: Eukaryota; Viridiplantae; Streptophyta; Magnoliopsida; Malpighiales; Salicaceae
Exons: 2
Source: RefSeq, a predicted model, not a curated record